UUAUGAAAGAAAGAAGUGUACUUCAGAUGUCUGGACUCCAAAUCACAGCUAUUGCAAUUCAUUCGUUCAAAAAUAUCCAUUCCAAAAAGAGAAUGCACUAAACAAGCAUUGUUUGUACAAUCCCAAGACCCCAUGCCAUUGCUUUCCACUGAGUCAGAAUCAGAACCACUUGAACCAGAAGCAAAUGCCUGAUGAAGGCAAUUAAAUAUUACUGCCAGUACUUCAGAUGCAUCAUUCAUCUGACCCUCCUGGAAGAAAUUACUAUCAGGGUACAAGU
RNAcentral lists this unclassified non-coding RNA (277 nucleotides) under Hevea brasiliensis (rubber tree). Lineage: Eukaryota; Viridiplantae; Streptophyta; Magnoliopsida; Malpighiales; Euphorbiaceae. The record is from RNAcentral.